RNAcentral lists this long non-coding RNA (1302 nucleotides) under Sorghum bicolor (sorghum). Its description in RNAcentral is "long non-coding RNA (SBIC_LNC005523)". Lineage: Eukaryota; Viridiplantae; Streptophyta; Magnoliopsida; Poales; Poaceae. The record is from RNAcentral.
UAAUAAAAAAAGUAGUAGGCAUGGAAUUAAUUGGAUGUCCCAUAGGAAAAUGAGAAUCUAAAAUCUUGACAUUAUAUAAAUGACCAGUAUUAUUUAAUAAGUUCAUACUUAAUAAUUAAUGUUGUAGAUAGACUAGCAGAUAGAUCCUGAUAAAGGCCUGCAUAAAAGAUAAAAGGCAUGCAGAAAAUAAAAGAUAAAAAGAAGGCCUGCAAAAAACACGAGCCAGCAAACACAAUGCUAGCUAGCUGCAACAUAUUUAUACUGGGAAGGGAUCUCAUAUAUAUAUCCAAUAAAUUGAUACUCAAAAUGACGUAUACUAUACCCGUAUAAUUGCCUUCAGAUAGCAUCUCAAUUUGUUACUAUUAUUUUAAGUACUAUCUCAAAUAUUGUUAGUGCUAUUUGGUUGUGUCAAUACUCUAAGGCUAUAGUCCGUCGCAAAAAAAAAAUGCUCUAAGGCUAUGUCUUUGAUAGUCUCUCUUCUAUUGUGUCAUUUCAAAAAAAAAAAAGUCAAGUCGGUAGCUUAUAGAUCCAUGAAAGAUGAAACCUUUAUGAUCUUAGGGCGUCUCCAACAAGCUAUCAAAUAGCUACCUGAUAUUAUUUUUUAGAUGGCGAGGAAGAGAAAGAAUGUAAAAAAUGAAGUUGCUAGUGACGAGUGAAUAGAUAGAAUUAUAUAGCUUUUGAUAACAUCUCUUUCUAUAUCUCUUUUCUUCAGAACUCCAUCACAUAUUCAUGUCAGCUGGCGAUUUUGCACAUCUCGGUGGUACUAUUUUUAGUUCCAUCACGUAUUCAUGUCAGCUGGCAAUUUUGCUAGUACUGUGGACGCUCUUAGUGGGGUGUUUUACUCUCAUUUAAAACUAUGACACAUCGGUAAUUUUGCUUGGUUGCCAUGUUGUUUGAGGGAAGAGAAAAAUAGAGUUUCAUUAAGAUGAAACUCAUCUAUCACGUUUAUCAGCACAAUAAAAUGCAAAGAAACAUAAACCGAGAUCAAUUUGUUUCAUUUUGAGGAUCUUCUUCACGAGAUAAGCAAAGAAUUAUAUGCAAUUGCAAGGCUCUAUGUUUCAUAUGCCACAAUUGAUCAUAAGAGCAUAUCACAAUUAAAUGAUGUAGCUAGCCUAUAUGAAACUGUGUGCUGAGAUAGAUUAUUUCAUCACUUGUAAAACUGAUUCAGCAGUCUUGAUAACUUUUUUUUACAUUAAUAGUCUUGGCAACUGACUAUCUGUGCAUUGAAAUUCUGCACAAAAAUAUAUAAGUCCAUAAUGAUUAACAAAAAUGAGUCCAUAAAUAUUCAAAAUAAACACCAUA